UCCCUGGUAGUCUAUCGGUUAGUACACGCGCCUGUCAUCAGCUAAAAGACUCUUCGCGCGAAAGCUGGGUUCGACUCCCAGCCAGGGAG
Collybiopsis luxurians FD-317 M1 is the source of this 89-nucleotide non-coding RNA. NCBI's taxonomy places the organism in Eukaryota, Fungi, Basidiomycota, Agaricomycetes, Agaricales, Omphalotaceae. The record is from the annotation of a GenBank genome assembly.